Molecule: ribosomal RNA, 406 nt
Filed under: uncultured bacterium
Lineage: Bacteria
Description: partial 16S ribosomal RNA
Rfam family: Bacterial small subunit ribosomal RNA
Source: RNAcentral
AUUGAACGCUGGCGGCCUGCCUAAUACAUGCAAGUCGAGCGAGCGGCGGACUGGUGAGCAAUGUAUGGGGAUCUGCCCGAUAGAGGGGGAUAACUACUGUAAACCGUGGCUAAUACCGCAUACUACCGUUUGGACCCUUAUGGGAUUAGCUAGUAGGUGGGGUAAAGGCUCACCUAGGCGACGAUCCCUAGCUGGUCUGAGAGGAUGAUCAGCCACACUGGUACUGAGACACGGCCCAGACUCCUACGGGAGGAAGCAGUGGGGAAGAUUGCACAAUGGGCGAAAGCCUGAUGCAGCCAUGCCGCGUGUAUGAAGAAGGCCUUCGGGUUGUAAAGUACUUUCAGCGGGGAGGCGUUACCCGCAGAAGAAGCACCGGCUAACUACGUGCCAGCAGCCGCGGUAAUUC